RNAcentral lists this ribosomal RNA (783 nucleotides) under uncultured marine bacterium. RNAcentral describes it as "bacterial SSU rRNA". It matches the Rfam family "Bacterial small subunit ribosomal RNA", at positions 14 to 794 of the family's 1533-position model. The record is from RNAcentral.
UGAUCCUGGCUCAGAUUGAACGCUGGCGGCAGGCCUAACACAUGCAAGUCGAACGGUAACAGAACUAGCUUGCUAGUUGCUGACGAGUGGCGGACGGGUGAGUAAUACUUAGGGAUCUGCCUCUGUGUGGGGGAUAACUAUUGGAAACGAUAGCUAAUACCGCAUAAUGUCUACGGACCAAAGAGGGCUUCGGCUCUCGCGCAGAGAGGAACCUAGGCGAGAUUAGCUAGUUGGUGAGGUAAAGGCUCACCAAGGCGACGAUCUCUAGCUGUUCUGAGAGGAAGAUCAGCCACACUGGAACUGAGACACGGUCCAGACUCCUACGGGAGGCAGCAGUGGGGAAUAUUGCACAAUGGGGGAAACCCUGAUGCAGCCAUGCCGCGUGUGUGAAGAAGGCCUUCGGGUUGUAAAGCACUUUCAGUUGUGAGGAAAGGUUAGUAGUUAAUACCUGCUAGCUGUGACGUUAACAACAGAAGAAGCACCGGCUAACUCCGUGCCAGCAGCCGCGGUAAUACGGAGGGUGCGAGCGUUAAUCGGAAUUACUGGGCGUAAAGCGCACGCAGGCGGUCUGUUAAGCUAGAUGUGAAAGCCCCGCGCUCAACGUGGGAGGGUCAUUUAGAACUGGCAGACUAGAGUCUUGGAGAGGGGAGUGGAAUUCCAGGUGUAGCGGUGAAAUGCGUAGAGAUCUGGAGGAACAUCAAUGGCGAAGGCAACUCCCUGGCCAAAGACUGACGCUCAUGUGCGAAAGUGUGGGUAGCGAACAGGAUUAGAUACCCUGGUAGU